CAAAAUGGCUGCCGCGGCUGCAAAAAUCAAGCGCGGCCUACCGUGUGGUGAUCGUGCGGCACUGCCACGGUAGAAAAAGCUGCUCAGCAAGCGGCCAGGGGCCACGGGGAGCAGGUGGGAAAUAAGGGAGAAAGCGUAUGGGCGACAGAGCCCAGCAGGGGAACCCGGGGAGGGGAAACAGAUUACAGACAGAGCCAAAGCAUCAUAGCAGAGGCACCCAUUCCCCAUACAGCAGAGUGAGAAAAACUGCAUAAAGUAACCCAGAAUAACAAUAAAUCAAUGAGCAGUAUACAGAAUCUAUCAGAUAAAUAGCCUAAAUACAGCAACAGAUGUUAACAAGUGAUAUAGCAGCUACAUAGCAUGAAGUGGUAAAGGAAAUAACACAGAAUAGACUGCCUAGCUAAACCCAGCAAUAGACUGCCUAGAUAAACACAGCAAUAGACUGCCUAGAUAAACACAGCAAUAGACUGCCUAACUAAACCCAGCAAUAGACUGCCUAGAUAAACACAGCAAUAGACUACCUAGAUAAACCCAGCAAUAGAUUGCCUAAAUAAACCCAGCAAUAGACUGCCUAGCUAAACCCAGCAAUUGACUGCCUAGCUAAACCCAGCAAUAGACUGCCUAGCUAAAUCCAGCAAGAACCCUGCCUAAAUAAAACCAGCAAUUAAGCUGCCUAAUCAAACCUAACAAAUAGACUGAUUAAAUAGACUGUUUAAAUAAACAAGCAGCAUGUAGGAUAAAACAACAACCAAGAGCAGAGACAACUCUGAGUUGGUG
Pelobates cultripes (western spadefoot toad) is the source of this 777-nucleotide non-coding RNA. The record is from the annotation of a GenBank genome assembly. Lineage: Eukaryota; Metazoa; Chordata; Amphibia; Anura; Pelobatidae.